RNAcentral lists this ribosomal RNA (468 nucleotides) under uncultured bacterium. RNAcentral describes it as "partial 16S ribosomal RNA". It matches the Rfam family "Bacterial small subunit ribosomal RNA", at positions 28 to 507 of the family's 1533-position model. The record is from RNAcentral.
GAUGAACGCUGGCGGCGUGCUUAACACAUGCAAGUCGAACGGAAAGGCCCUGCUUUUGUGGGGUGCUCGAGUGGCGAACGGGUGAGUAACACGUGAGUAACCUGCCCUUGACUUUGGGAUAACUUCAGGAAACUGGGGCUAAUACCGGAUAGGAGCUCCUGCUGCAUGGUGGGGGUUGGAAAGUUUCGGCGGUUGGGGAUGGACUCGCGGCUUAUCAGCUUGUUGGGGGGGUAGUGGCUUACCAAGGCUUUGACGGGUAGCCGGCCUGAGAGGGUGACCGGCCACAUUGGGACUGAGAUACGGCCCAGACUCCUACGGGAGGCAGCAGUGGGGAAUAUUGCACAAUGGGCGGAAGCCUGAUGCAGCAACGCCGCGUGCGGGAUGACGGCCCUCGGGUUGUAAACCGCUUUCGCCUGUGACGAAGCGUGAGUGACGGUAAUGGGUAAAGAAGCACCGGCUAACUACGUG